GAUGAACGCUGGCGGCGUGCCUAAUACAUGCAAGUCGAGCGAACAGACGAGGAGCUUGCUCCUCUGACGUUAGCGGCGGACGGGUGAGUAACACGUGGAUAACCUACCUAUAAGACUGGGAUAACUUCGGGAAACCGGAGCUAAUACCGGAUAAUAUAUUGAACCGCAUGGUUCAAUAGUGAAAGACGGUUUUGCUGUCACUUAUAGAUGGAUCCGCGGCGCAUUAGCUAGUUGGUAAGGUAACGGCUUACCAAGGCAACGAUGCGUAGCCGACCUGAGAGGGUGAUCGGCCACACUGGAACUGAGACACGGUCCAGACUCCUACGGGAGGCAGCAGUGGGGAAUCUUCGACAAUGGGCGAAAGCCUGACGGAGCAACGCCGCGUGGGUGAUGAAGGUCUUCGGGUCGUAAAACUCUGUUAUUAGGGAAGAACAAAUGUAUAAGUAACUAUGCACGUCUUGACGGUACCUAAUCAGAAAGCCACGGCUAACUACGUG
Molecule: ribosomal RNA, 497 nt
Filed under: uncultured bacterium
Lineage: Bacteria
Description: partial 16S ribosomal RNA
Rfam family: Bacterial small subunit ribosomal RNA
Source: RNAcentral